UAGGGAAUCUUCGGCAAUGGGGGCAACCCUGACCGAGCAACGCCGCGUGAGUGAAGAAGGUUUUCGGAUCGUAAAGCUCUGUUGUAAGAGAAGAACGUGUGUGAGAGUGGAAAGUUCACACAGUGACGGUAACUUACCAGAAAGGGACGGCUAACUACGUGCCAGCAGCCGCGGUAAUACGUAGGUCCCGAGCGUUGUCCGGAUUUAUUGGGCGUAAAGCGAGCGCAGGCGGUUUAAUAAGUCUGAAGUUAAAGGCAGUGGCUUAACCAUUGUUCGCUUUGGAAAAUGUGAAACUUGAGUGCAGAAGGGGAGAGUGGAAUUCCAUGUGUAGCGGUGAAAUGCGUAGAUAUAUGGAGGAACACCGGUGGCGAAAGCGGCUCUCUGGGCUGUAACUGACGCUGAGGCUCGAAAGCGUGGGGAGCAAACAGG
RNAcentral lists this ribosomal RNA (429 nucleotides) under bacterium. RNAcentral's name for it is "partial 16S ribosomal RNA". It matches the Rfam family "Bacterial small subunit ribosomal RNA", at positions 355 to 776 of the family's 1533-position model. The record is from RNAcentral.